RNAcentral lists this ribosomal RNA (301 nucleotides) under uncultured bacterium. RNAcentral's name for it is "partial 16S ribosomal RNA". It matches the Rfam family "Bacterial small subunit ribosomal RNA", at positions 509 to 807 of the family's 1533-position model. The record is from RNAcentral.
CAGCAGCCACGGGAAAACGGAGGGUGCAAGCGUUACUCGGAAUCACUGGGCGUAAAGGACGCGUAGGCGGAUUAUCAAGUCUCUUGUGAAAUCUAACGGCUUAACCGUUAAACUGCUUGAGAAAUUGAUAAUCUAGAGUAAGGGAGAGGCAGAUGGAAUCCUUGGUGUAGGGGUAAAAUCCGUAGAUAUCAAGAAGAAUACCUAUUGCGAAGGCGAUCUGCUGGAACUUAACUGACGCUAAUGCGUGAAAGCGUGGGGAGCAAACAGGAUUAGAUACCCGGGUAGUCCCUGUCUCUUAUAC